CUCAAAAAUUAGCUGGGCAUGCCUAUAAUUCCAGCUAUUCAGGAGGCUGAGGCAGGAGAGUUGCUUGAACCUGCGCCUCACCAUAAAUAUUUUAAACCAGAGAAGCAGAUAUUUUAAACCAAGAGGUCUUUACCAGGUGCACCUGUUGACUUCCUGUAGCUUCAGGGCUAUCCCCUACCCCCACCCAGCUCCCAGCCUCGGACACUGUAUUAAUCAUGCUGCUGAUAAAGAAAUACCAGAGACUGGGCAAUUUACAAAAGAAAGAGGUUUAAUAGGAUUUACAGUUCCACGUGGUUGGGGAAGGUCUCACAAUCAAGAAGGAGGGUGAAAGGCACUUCUUAAAUGGUGGCAGCAAGAGAGAAUGAAGAAGAAGCAAGAGUGAAACCCCUGAUAAACCCAUCAGAUCUCGUGA
This is a long non-coding RNA of Sapajus apella (tufted capuchin), 412 nucleotides long. RefSeq lists it as uncharacterized. The record is from RefSeq and is a predicted model, not a curated record. The transcript is spliced from 3 exons. NCBI's taxonomy places the organism in Eukaryota, Metazoa, Chordata, Mammalia, Primates, Cebidae.